RNAcentral lists this unclassified non-coding RNA (604 nucleotides) under Sedum subulatum. RNAcentral's name for it is "sequence contains ITS1, 5.8S rRNA gene and ITS2". The stretch from base 232 to 387 matches the Rfam family "5.8S ribosomal RNA". The record is from RNAcentral. Lineage: Eukaryota; Viridiplantae; Streptophyta; Magnoliopsida; Saxifragales; Crassulaceae.
UCGAAGCCUAGAAAGCACGACCGCGAACGAGUUUUCAAACGGGGAAUGGAUGGGAGGCCCUAGGCGUCCCGUUGCCACCCCCACUCGGUCGGCGAGGGGCCUUGCGUUCCUUGCCUUCCGAAACUAACGAACCCCGGCGCGGCAAGCGCCAAGGAAUCCAAACGAAAGAACUUGUCCCUCGGGCCCGUCCUCGGGCCGGAGGGGCACAGGUCUGUUCUAAUAUGUCGUAACGACUCUCGGCAACGGAUAUCUCGGCUCUCGCAUCGAUGAAGAACGUAGCGAAAUGCGAUACUUGGUGUGAAUUGCAGAAUCCCGUGAAUCAUCGAGUCUUUGAACGCAAGUUGCGCCCGAAGCCUUUAGGCCGAGGGCACGUCUGCCUGGGCGUCAUGCGCCGCGAUGCCCCCCACCAAGUGGGGAGCGAAGUUUGGCCUCCCGUGAGCCCAUCUCGCGGAUGGCUUAAAAACGAGCCUCGAGACGGUGAGACGUCGCGACAAGUGGUGGUUAAAGGGCCUCGUGCCUUCGAUCUUAGCGUGUCGUGCGCCCGCCCCCUCUAUCGCUUCCGAAGUAACCCCGAACGGAGCGCGUCCUUCGCGCUGCCAGCAUC